RNAcentral lists this ribosomal RNA (253 nucleotides) under uncultured bacterium. RNAcentral describes it as "partial 16S ribosomal RNA". It matches the Rfam family "Bacterial small subunit ribosomal RNA", at positions 524 to 776 of the family's 1533-position model. The record is from RNAcentral.
GACGUAGGGUGCAAGCGUUGUCCGGAUUUACUGGGCGUAAAGAGCGCGUAGGCGGCUCGUUAAGUGAGAAGUGAAAGCUCUGGGCUCAACCCAGAAACCGCUUUUCAUACUGGCAAGCUGGAGUGAUGCAGAGGUGGAUAGAAUUCCCGGUGUAGCGGUGAAAUGCGUUGAUAUCGGGAGGAAUACCCGUGGCGAAGGCGGUCCACUGGGCAUCAACUGACGCUGAGGCGCGAAAGCGUGGGGAGCAAACAGG